GGGCCUGUAGCUCAAGGGUUAGAGCCGGCGGCUCAUAACCGCUUGGUUGGGGUUCGAACCCCUCCGGCCGG
This 71-nucleotide transfer RNA is filed under the name Mesorhizobium sp. RNAcentral describes it as "tRNA-Met". It matches the Rfam family "tRNA". From Rfam's summary of the family: Transfer RNA (tRNA) molecules are approximately 80 nucleotides in length. The record is from RNAcentral. Lineage: Bacteria; Pseudomonadati; Pseudomonadota; Alphaproteobacteria; Hyphomicrobiales; Phyllobacteriaceae.